This 253-nucleotide ribosomal RNA is filed under the name uncultured bacterium. RNAcentral describes it as "partial 16S ribosomal RNA". It matches the Rfam family "Bacterial small subunit ribosomal RNA", at positions 524 to 776 of the family's 1533-position model. The record is from RNAcentral.
UACGUAGGGUGCAAGCGUUGUCCGGAAUUAUUGGGCGUAAAGAGCUCGUAGGCGGUUUGUCGCGUCGGCUGUGAAAACUCGGGGCUCAACCCCGAGCCUGCAGUCGAUACGGGCAGACUAGAGUGUUGCAGGGGAGACUGGAAUUCCUGGUGUAGCGGUGAAAUGCGCAGAUAUCAGGAGGAACACCGGUGGCGAAGGCGGGUCUCUGGGCAACAACUGACGCUGAGGAGCGAAAGCGUGGGGAGCGAACAGG